This 685-nucleotide ribosomal RNA is filed under the name uncultured bacterium. RNAcentral describes it as "bacterial SSU rRNA". It matches the Rfam family "Bacterial small subunit ribosomal RNA", at positions 91 to 758 of the family's 1533-position model. The record is from RNAcentral.
GCGAGCGGCGGAUGGGUGAGUAACACGUGGGGAACCUGCCCCUAAGUCUGGGAUACCAUUUGGAAACAGGUGCUAAUACCGGAUAAUAAAGCAGAUCGCAUGAUCAGCUUUUGAAAGGCGGCGUAAGCUGUCGCUAAGGGAUGGCCCCGCGGUGCAUUAGCUAGUUGGUAAGGUAACGGCUUACCAAGGCGACGAUGCAUAGCCGAGUUGAGAGACUGAUCGGCCACAUUGGGACUGAGACACGGCCCAAACUCCUACGGGAGGCAGCAGUAGGGAAUCUUCCACAAUGGACGCAAGUCUGAUGGAGCAACGCCGCGUGAGUGAAGAAGGUUUUCGGAUCGUAAAGCUCUGUUGUUGGUGAAGAAGGAUAGAGGUAGUAACUGGCCUUUAUUUGACGGUAAUCAACCAGAAAGUCACGGCUAACUACGUGCCAGCAGCCGCGGUAAUACGUAGGUGGCAAGCGUUGUCCGGAUUUAUUGGGCGUAAAGCGAGCGCAGGCGGAAAAAUAAGUCUAAUGUGAAAGCCCUCGGCUUAACCGAGGAACUGCAUCGGAAACUGUUUUUCUUGAGUGCAGAAAGAGGAGAGUGGAACUCCAUGUGUAGCGGUGGAAUGCGUAGAUAUAUGGAAGAACACCCAGUGGCGAAGGCGGGCUCUCUGGUCUGCAAACUGACGCUGAGGCUCGAAA